This 74-nucleotide transfer RNA is filed under the name Micractinium sp. LBA 32. RNAcentral describes it as "tRNA-Met". It matches the Rfam family "tRNA". From Rfam's summary of the family: Transfer RNA (tRNA) molecules are approximately 80 nucleotides in length. RNAcentral also lists the same sequence under 1 other name. The record is from RNAcentral. Lineage: Eukaryota; Viridiplantae; Chlorophyta; Trebouxiophyceae; Chlorellales; Chlorellaceae.
GAGCUUAUAGUUUAAUAGGUUAGAACACGUUGCUCAUAACAACGCAGUUGUAGGUUCGAGUCCUACUAAGCUCA